CCUGCCCACUGAAAUUUUUUGAAUGGCCGCAGUAAUUUGACUGUGCAAAGGUAGCAUAAUCAUUAGUUUUUUAAUUAAAAGCUUGUAUGAAGGGUUGGACGAGGUAAAGUCUGUCUUUACUUAAAUAAUUAUAGAAUUUAAUUUUUAAGUUAAAAAGCUUAAAUUUAAAUAAAAGACGAGAAGACCCUAUAGAUCUUUAUAUUAUUUUUUAUAAUUUUAUUUUAGAAUAUUUUAUUUUUUAUAAAAAAAAAUAUUUAAUUGGGGUAAUUAAAAGAUUUAAUUAAUUCUUUUUAUAUAUUUUCAUUAAUUUAUGAAUUUGUGAUCCAAUAAUUUUGAUUAUAAGAUUAAGUUACCUUAGGGAUAACAGCGUAAUUUUUUUUGAGAGUUCAUAUCGAUAAAAAAGUUUGCGACCUCGAUGUUGGAUUAAAAAUUAUUUUAGGCGUAGAAGUUUAAAAAUUUGGUCUGUUCGACCAUUGAAUUUUUACAUGAUCUGAGUUCAGACCGGUGUAAACCAGGUCGGUUUCUAUCUUUAUUUAUUUAUAAUAUUUUAGUACGAAAGGACCAAAUAUUAAAUAUAUUUAUAUUUAUAAUUUUGAAUAUUAUUAA
This 606-nucleotide ribosomal RNA is filed under the name Papuadytes sp. MB481. RNAcentral describes it as "partial 16S ribosomal RNA". It matches the Rfam family "Bacterial large subunit ribosomal RNA", at positions 1858 to 2747 of the family's 2925-position model. The record is from RNAcentral. Lineage: Eukaryota; Metazoa; Arthropoda; Insecta; Coleoptera; Dytiscidae.